This 510-nucleotide ribosomal RNA is filed under the name uncultured bacterium. RNAcentral describes it as "bacterial SSU rRNA". It matches the Rfam family "Bacterial small subunit ribosomal RNA", at positions 833 to 1343 of the family's 1533-position model. The record is from RNAcentral.
UGAGGCGUGGCUUCCGGAGCUAACGCGUUAAGUCGACCGCCUGGGGAGUACGGCCGCAAGGUUAAAACUCAAAUGAAUUGACGGGGGCCCGCACAAGCGGUGGAGCAUGUGGUUUAAUUCGAUGCAACGCGAAGAACCUUACCUACUCUUGACAUCCAGAGAACUUAGCAGAGAUGCUUUGGUGCCUUCGGGAACUCUGAGACAGGUGCUGCAUGGCUGUCGUCAGCUCGUGUUGUGAAAUGUUGGGUUAAGUCCCGCAACGAGCGCAACCCUUAUCCUUUGUUGCCAGCGGUCCGGCCGGGAACUCAAAGGAGACUGCCAGUGAUAAACUGGAGGAAGGUGGGGAUGACGUCAAGUCAUCAUGGCCCUUACGAGUAGGGCUACACACGUGCUACAAUGGCGCAUACAAAGAGAAGCGAACUCGCGAGAGCAAGCGGACCUCAUAAAGUGCGUCGUAGUCCGGAUUGGAGUCUGCAACUCGACUCCAUGAAGUCGGAAUCGCUAGUAAUC